UUGGGCCUCUCUGAAGGGCAGC
This 22-nucleotide non-coding RNA is filed under the name Rattus norvegicus (Norway rat). Lineage: Eukaryota; Metazoa; Chordata; Mammalia; Rodentia; Muridae. The record is from RNAcentral.